RNA transcript from Setaria italica (foxtail millet), 988 nucleotides. RefSeq lists it as uncharacterized. The transcript is spliced from 3 exons. NCBI's taxonomy places the organism in Eukaryota, Viridiplantae, Streptophyta, Magnoliopsida, Poales, Poaceae. The record is from RefSeq and is a predicted model, not a curated record.
GCUCCUCCACCCAUAGGCCACCAGAGCAUCCUCCCACGUGCCUCCCCCGCCGCGCCACGCCUCUCCUCGCGCCUGGUUGGGCAGGAGCCCGCCCGAAUGGCAUGGGCACCAGGUGGCCGUCGAACUCGGGCGCCGCCCCUCACCACCAAUGCCCGUGCCCGGUGCUAUGUCACCUUGCCAUCAUAACUCCUCGCCUCGCCCAGGCUAUAAAACGAUCCCUCGCCAAGCCUCCUGCCCCUCCAAACCGAUCUUCUCCUCCAUUAAUGAGCUCUCGAGCUCCUCUCGGUUCGUCAUCGAUUCCUCCCAUCUCCCUCCGUCUCCCUUCGAUUCCUCUCACCCAAAGCUGUGCCACUUCCCCAGCUACACCCUCAGCCCCUCCUCUCCCUCAAUUGUCCAUCGAAUCAACGGGAAUCAAAGUUCCCCCAAACUUCCAGGAACUUUUCACCUGCCACCACUACCUCUACAUGGCGCCCCAUCUCCCGGCUGUCCUCGUCCUCAACCAAGUGCUCAAAUGGAACCUAGAAGCGAACCUCACAAAUGGAACCUACGAGUUGACGCCUGCUGCCAAGGAAGGAUCUAAAGAGCUGCACCACGUCCAGGCUGAGCAGGAGAUCCCAGAAGCUGCUAGCAACUCCCCCACUAACAUAGUACAGGAAGGCAAGCCCCGGAGCAUAUCCCAGUUUUCUAAAAUUAUGCACUACUUGAGCUAGGUAGUGCUGAUUUCGAGGAAAUGGUUGCUAGUUUGACUUGGCCGACCUCACCCCUUCGGGUUGGACGGUCAAGUGGAAACCGUCCUCAGACAACGUGGAUCAUGGGAAUUGAUAUGAUGGUCAGCUUCGCCAUGGUAUUAUGUAUCGACGUUUAGACUUUCUCUGAGCUUUAUCUUCGUUGUUUGAAACCGUGCAAACUUUGUCUGAAUUUUUCAAACUCUGAGGUAAUAAUUGUGAACUAUGUUAAUGAUAUGGGAAUGUUGUAAUCUCUUUAACCA